UACAAUUACUUCACAUUCUUGCUGCUUUAUCUUUUUUAAAUUAAAAAUAAACCGAUAUUUCUUUUGAAUUUAGAAUUUCAAAAAGGGAAUUUGGAGAAAAUGUGUUCAAAGUCUACGAAAGAACGAACCCUUAAAUCGUUUGUUUAUAGAUUUCAUUUAAGUCAAAACACAGCUGAUGAAUUCAUUUGUGCUAAACAAAGAACAGUUGAUGUUUGUUCCAUUGUUGGCAUUCGGCAUUAACCGAAGGAUUGGUAUUCAGUUUACAACAAAUUAUACGUGUGAUCGGACGAAAAAAAGCGAAAAUUAAUAAUUUGAAGCGGGUAAAUAUGGAGCACGAGGAUAAGAUGUGUGUAUAACAGCAAAUACAUUAGACGUCCGAACUUGUUGAUGUUUAUUUGCUUAUCCAAAACAGGAAGCAAAAUCAUUGUACCAGAAAUUUAUGUCAAGCUGAAAAGGAUGAAGGCAUAAAAGAGUGUGUAUGUCUUGGUCAAUAUUAUUUUGAAUUUAUGCGACAAGUUAGAGCCGAGUCGUUAUUAGAAGACGAAAAUGAUGGAAUAGCAGAUGAAUUGGAAUUAGGUCCAGGUCAACUAGAGCAAUUUCACGGACAAUACCACAAACCCUUUCGAACUGAACGAUAUAAAGAAUGGUGGGGAGAGGAUUUUCUGUCGAGAUCGUAGAAUCGUACUGAGUUCGUCGAUCAAGAUCCGAGAGUGGUUGAUAUAAAGAGUCAGUUUGCUGCAAUCAAGCGCAGACACAAAGCGAAUAAUCAACGUUGGCAAGAAAGAUAUGCAGAGCAUUUACUGGGAUUGGAGGCUUCAAACGUUGCUCCGCCAUCAGUGGGAGAAACGAACGUGAAAAGUAUAAAAAUCAAUUCGAUAUACCAUUUCAAACUGAAGUGUAUCGCAAAUGGUGGUCAGAACACAUUCACAUAAUGCACAAAAGUUACUCGAUGAACUUUCAUCAGUCGUGGACGCAGAUAAAGAACGCGCUGAAAACUCGAUGGAUUUAUUGAAAUUGUCCUAGAACAUUUGAUUUUCGAGACAAAACGCAUCGUAGAAUAUCUCUGUCUAUGGAGUGUUCCAAAGUGAAUGUUUUCGUAUUACCUUACCGCUUAUUACUGUCUCAUUCCAAAAAAAAGAAAAAUAUUUAUUUUGUUUCAGUAUACAAAAAAGAAAUCAAAUAAAAAACACCUUUGCAAAGUCUGUUACCACGAAUUGAAAAAUGAACAUGAGUAAAAAACCAAGUAAACCAAGUAUUCAAGUAAACCAUUCCUAAUUUGCAGCACAUAUCUCUUUCAUUAGAAACUUACCUAUGCUGUGGACUGUUAUUGUCAUGGCUCAUUGUUCAGACUGGAUACCUAAUUUUCAGUUAUAAAAAUAUUGUUUCUUUCUGUUUUAUGAAUUCAACGUUAAUGUUUUAGAAAAGAAAACCCUGUUCAAAGAAGAAGAAGAAGCAAAAUGUCCCAUUUGAUGAACAACUCAAUUCGAAACGCAAUAAAAAGUACACACAUAUUUCAGUUGUAAUUUAAUUCAUUUGUCGCAUUUUUUGAAUGUUUUAUUUGUUGACUUUUCGUCUCUUUUUGGUUUUGGUUUCGUUUUCUGGUAAAUUGUUACUUUUUCAACAGGAUACGUGUUGUUUUAUGCAUUUUUGUAGAGCUGUUGGGGUUUUUGUUUGUUUUAACAUUGUAAAUAUGGAGCAUAUGAAAACCGAAAAGAAAAGUUUAAGACCAGGCUCACAUGGUGUUUAUCAUUACUUUUUAAACAUUUUUUCCCUUUUGUUUUCGUUUAAGUUUUGUGCUUUAAACGAAGGGUCAAUAGCUUCGCCGAAUCAAACCACGACGUUUCUAUUAUUCGUGCAAUUGAAAAACAGAAAUCUCAACAAAAUGAAGAUACUAUGUAAAAUAAACUUCAGCUCAUGUUAAGUGUAAUCAUAUUGACUAUUCAUUAUUCGUUAUCACACAAUUGUAAAUAGUCAUGUGGAGUGAUUGUGGUUCGAUUUGCCAACGGUGCUAACCUUUUGCUUCAUUAUUAUAAUAACAAAGAAUCAAAGGUGUUUGCAAUAGAAAAAGGUUUUUUUUUCAUGAAUUUUAUUUUCAAAUAUGAUCAGAAUAGAAGUUUGAAGAAGCUUCGGAGAAAAUUUAUUGAAUUUUUUUUUCAAAACACAUCCUUCCUGAAAACUUCAUAUUAUUCUGAUGUGUUUUGAAGUCUAUUUUUGUUUAUCUUCAAAUUAAAUUGUCCACGUGGAAAAAGGCUGUUGUCGAAAAAUCGCCAGCCACUUGAAUGCGUAAAGACCAAAUACAUCCAAGUAUUGAUUUUAUUCGUGAAUCCUCAGUGUAUGUGUUUUUUUUACAGGUUAAGUCACUAUCUACGAAUGUCUCGAAAAAAGAUGCGUCGAAAAUUUGUCAAAGAGAGACACAAAAGGUUUUUUUUCUUCUGUUUUUCUAUAAAUGAAAACCGGAUGGUCAUUUUGUUGUAAAUCAGUUCGAGAAAUUGUGCAAAUUUUGUGAUUGGUAUGAUGUGGACAUGCGACUUCAACGGUAUUCUCAUCGAUUAAACACUGGUCAAUUCUCAUUUCAAACCCAUUAUGAAGCAAUCUACAGCAAGGAAAAUGCCGCCAACAGUUGAAGAGUAUGCGUGUGCCAUCAGCAGUUGACCUAAGCCAUUUGUUCGUUUUGUUUUGUUUUUAGAAUAUUGUUGAAUGUCUUUGUAUUGCCUUCCUAAGAAUUGUAAUUCCAUAAAAAAUGACUUUGCUUCGA
Long non-coding RNA from Sitodiplosis mosellana (orange wheat blossom midge), 2755 nucleotides. RefSeq lists it as uncharacterized. The record is from RefSeq and is a predicted model, not a curated record. Lineage: Eukaryota; Metazoa; Arthropoda; Insecta; Diptera; Cecidomyiidae. The transcript is spliced from 3 exons.